CCAGACUCCUACGGGAGGCAGCAGUGAGGAAUAUUGGUCAAUGGUCGGGAGACUGAACCAGCCAAGCCGCGUGAGGGAGGAAGGUACAGAGUAUCGUAAACCUCUUUUGUCAGGGAACAAAGGCGGGGACGUGUCCCCGGAUGAGUGUACCUGAAGAAAAAGCAUCGGCUAACUCCGUGCCAGCAGCCGCGGUAAUACGGAGGAUGCGAGCGUUAUCCGGAUUUAUUGGGUUUAAAGGGUGCGUAGGCGGGCUGUUAAGGCAGGGGUCAAAGGGCGGGGCUCAACCCCGGCCUGCCGUUGAAACUGGCGGCCUCGAGUGGGCGAGAAGUAUGCGGAAUGCGUGGUGUAGCGGUGAAAUGCAUAGAUAUCACGCAGAACUCCGAUUGCGAAGGCAGCAUACCGGCGCGCAACUGACGCUCAUGCACGAAAGCGUGGGUAUCGAACAGGAGGAGAUACCCGGGUA
RNAcentral lists this ribosomal RNA (463 nucleotides) under uncultured bacterium. RNAcentral's name for it is "bacterial SSU rRNA". It matches the Rfam family "Bacterial small subunit ribosomal RNA", at positions 331 to 792 of the family's 1533-position model. The record is from RNAcentral.